UAGGGAAUAUUGCAAAAUAGGCGAAAGCCCGAUGCAGCAACGCCGCGUGGGCGAUGAAGGCCUUCGGGUCGUAAAGCCCUUUUUGAGGGGAUGAGGAAGGACAGUACCCUCAGAAUAAGCCUCGGCUAACUACGUGCCAGCAGCCGCGGUAAAACGUAGGAGGCGAGCGUUAUCCGGAUUUACUGGGCGUAAAGCGCGUGCAGGCGGAUUGGAGAGUUGGAUGUGAAAGCUCCCGGCUUAACUGGGAGAGGUCGUUCAAUACUUCCAGUCUUGAGUGCAGUAGAGGGAAGUGGAAUUCCGGGUGUAGUGGUGAAAUGCGUAGAUAUCCGGAGGAACACCAGUGGCGAAAGCGGCUUCCUGGACUGUAACUGACGCUCAGACGCGAAAGCUAGGGUAGCAAACG
This 403-nucleotide ribosomal RNA is filed under the name uncultured bacterium. Its description in RNAcentral is "bacterial SSU rRNA". It matches the Rfam family "Bacterial small subunit ribosomal RNA", at positions 355 to 774 of the family's 1533-position model. The record is from RNAcentral.